GCGCUCCGGGACUCCCGCCCGACCGGGGGCAGUGAGCGGUCGCCUGGUCGCCGGGACGCGCAGUCGGGGUGCUUGGGGAGCCAGAUCUAGAUUCACACACGCGCUUAGCCUGAAGGCGGGGGUGCGGUGCCCCCGGGGCCACACUUGGGGGAGGCAGCAACUGUCGGCUGGUGCGGUUUCCCCGGGCAGGUUUCAGUAGCUUCUGUCCCCAGUUAGGUUGGUGAGCUUCCUCCCCGUGCAGGGUUGAUUUCAUCACUUGACUCACUUCAGAGCAGCCAGUGGUUUCCGUUUCUGUGCGCGCAGCUCUGGCAGAGGCGCCUCACGUCCAAAGGAGCGCCUCCCUCUCCCAGAGAGGAGCCUCCGGGAUUUGGCAGUCUUGUCAACUUGGGGCGCACCUCCCCUUCCUGGUUGCUACGAAGGCAAACCGAUUCCCAGAGGAGGCUGAAAGCGGUGACAAUAGUCAGCAGCCCCCUCCUUGCUUCCUGGGCUGGGCGUACUUUUACUGUGGGUUUGCUGAAAAGCUCAGCAUCUAUUCUGGAAGGAACU
This 546-nucleotide long non-coding RNA is filed under the name Chinchilla lanigera (long-tailed chinchilla). RNAcentral describes it as "lncRNA (ENSCLAG00000023370.1)". The record is from RNAcentral. Lineage: Eukaryota; Metazoa; Chordata; Mammalia; Rodentia; Chinchillidae.